RNAcentral lists this ribosomal RNA (254 nucleotides) under uncultured bacterium. Its description in RNAcentral is "partial 16S ribosomal RNA". It matches the Rfam family "Bacterial small subunit ribosomal RNA", at positions 524 to 776 of the family's 1533-position model. The record is from RNAcentral.
UACGUAGGGUCCAAGCGUUGUCCGGAUUUAUUGGGCGUAAAGAGCUCGUAGGCGGCUCAGUAAGUCGGAUGUGAAAACUCGGGGCUCAACCCCGAGACGCCAUCCGAUACUGCUGUGGCUUGAGUCUGGUAGGGGAACACGGAAUUCCUGGUGUAGCGGUGAAAUGCGCAGAUAUCAGGAGGAACACCGAUGGCGAAGGCGGCUAUCUGGACAGAGUCUGACGCUGAGGCGCGAAAGCUAGGGGAGCAAACAGG